Molecule: ribosomal RNA, 414 nt
Filed under: uncultured bacterium
Lineage: Bacteria
Description: bacterial SSU rRNA
Rfam family: Bacterial small subunit ribosomal RNA
Source: RNAcentral
GGCCAGCAGCCGCGGUAAUACGAAGGGGGCUAGCGUUGCUCGGAUUUACUGGGCGUAAAGGGCGCGUAGGCGGACGAUUUAGUCAGAGGUGAAAGCCCGGGGCUCAACCCCGGAAUUGCCUUUGAUACUGGUCGUCUUGAGUUUGGGAGAGGUGUGUGGAACUCCGAGUGUAGAGGUGAAAUUCGUAGAUAUUCGGAAGAACACCAGUGGCGAAGGCGACACACUGGCCCAAUACUGACGCUGAGGCGCGAAAGCGUGGGGAGCAAACAGGAUUAGAUACCCUGGUAGUCCACGCCGUAAACGAUGAUUGCUAGUUGUCGGCACGCAUGCGUGUCGGUGACGCAGCUAACGCAUUAAGCAAUCCGCCUGGGGAGUACGGUCGCAAGAUUAAAACUUAAAGGAAUUGGCGGGGGA